RNAcentral lists this ribosomal RNA (253 nucleotides) under uncultured bacterium. RNAcentral describes it as "partial 16S ribosomal RNA". It matches the Rfam family "Bacterial small subunit ribosomal RNA", at positions 524 to 776 of the family's 1533-position model. The record is from RNAcentral.
UACGUAGGGGGCAAGCGUUGUCCGGAUUUAUUGGGCGUAAAGAGCUCGUAGGCGGUUUGUCGCGUCUGCUGUGAAAACUCAGGGCUUAACUCUGAGCUUGCAGUGGGUACGGGCAGACUAGAGUGCGGUAGGGGAGACUGGAAUUCCUGGUGUAGCGGUGAAAUGCGCAGAUAUCAGGAGGAACACCGGUGGCGAAGGCGGGUCUCUGGGCCGUAACUGACGCUGAGGAGCGAAAGCAUGGGGAGCGAACAGG